ACGGAAGGCAGCAGUGGGGAAUAUUGCACAAUGGGGGAAACCCUAAUGCAGCGACGCCGCGUGAGUGAAGAAGUAUUUCGGUAUGUAAAGCUCUAUCAGCAGGGAAGAAAAUGACGGUACCUGACUAAGAAGCCCCGGCUAACUACGUGCCAGCAGCCGCGGUAAUACGUAGGGGGCAAGCGUUAUCCGGAUUUACUGGGUGUAAAGGGAGCGUAGACGGCGAUGCAAGUCUGAUGUGAAAGCCCGGGGCUCAACCCCGGCACUGCAUUGGAAACUGUGUUGCUAGAGUGCAGGAGAGGUAAGUGGAAUUCCUAGUGUAGCGGUGAAAUGCGUAGAUAUUAGGAGGAACACCAGUGGCGAAGGCGGCUUACUGGACUGUAACUGACGUUGAGGCUCGAAAGCGUGGGGAGCAAACAGGAUUAGAUACCCUGGUA
RNAcentral lists this ribosomal RNA (434 nucleotides) under uncultured Lachnospiraceae bacterium. Its description in RNAcentral is "partial 16S ribosomal RNA". It matches the Rfam family "Bacterial small subunit ribosomal RNA", at positions 341 to 792 of the family's 1533-position model. The record is from RNAcentral. Lineage: Bacteria; Bacillati; Bacillota; Clostridia; Lachnospirales; Lachnospiraceae.